Molecule: unclassified non-coding RNA, 87 nt
Filed under: Pseudomonas synxantha
Lineage: Bacteria; Pseudomonadati; Pseudomonadota; Gammaproteobacteria; Pseudomonadales; Pseudomonadaceae
Source: RNAcentral
UGUGGGAGGGGGCUUGCCCCCGAUGCAGGCAACUCGGCCUGUCAGUCAGACCGAGGUGAUGCUAUCGGGGGCAAGCCCCCUCCCACA